GACGAACGCUGGCGGCGUGCUUAACACAUGCAAGUCGAACGGAAAGGCCCUGCGUUUGCGGGGUGCUCGAGUGGCGAACGGGUGAGUAAAACGCGAGUAACCUGCCCUUGACUUUGGGAUAACUUCAGGAAACUGGGGCUAAUACCGGAUAGGAGCUCCUGCUGCACGGUGGGGGUUGGAAAGUGUCGGCGGUGGGGGAUGGACUCGCGGCUUAUCAGCUUGUUGGUGGGGUAGUGGCUUACCAAGGCUUUGACGGGUAGCCGGCCUGAGAGGGUGACCGGCCACAUUGGGCCUGAGGUACGGCCCAGACUCCUACGGGAGGCAGCAGUGGGGAGUCUUGCACAGUGGGCGGAAGCCUGAUGCAGCAACGCCGCGUGCGUGAUGACGGCCUUCGGGUUGUAAACCGCUUUCGCCUGUGACGAAGCGUGAGUGACGGUAAUGGGUAAAGAAGCACCGGCUAACUACGUG
Molecule: ribosomal RNA, 468 nt
Filed under: uncultured bacterium
Lineage: Bacteria
Description: partial 16S ribosomal RNA
Rfam family: Bacterial small subunit ribosomal RNA
Source: RNAcentral